CACCUCGUACAGUAAGUACAAGUUGCAAAUAAUUAUUGGAUCAUUAUAGUAUUUACGUACAAGUUGGUCAUUGAAAGCAUGAUUUACUGUAGUAGAAAGAAAGGCAUCAGCGUUUUCUUUGUAAUUCUGAUAUUUCAUUUUUCGCAUUAUAGUUGUUCUCUGAUUGUACAAUUGAUCUCGCGUCGCGGGUUCUAAUACGUUUAUUGUUUAUUAAAAGUGUUAUUAAAAGGUGAAUAAUUAAAUAAAAUAAUAGUGAAUAAAAACAAAGAAAACAUAAAUGUUGUAAAUGGAUUGCCCUGCACAAUGAAAAGAGCACUGCGUUUUUCCAAGAUGGCGGCUAUCUUACCACCGAGAAUUCCCCACGAAUAAGGUUUUCUACUGUAUGUGAUUAUAUGCUUUGUUUGGAAGUGUUUGCACGUAUUUAUGAACGCAUAAAUAUCCUUAUCAACACCAAAUUUUAAUGGAACUCUUAGAAAUGUGGCUUGGGGAUAUAAGUGCAGUGAUAAAUAUGUCGCUUUUGAAUCCAGCCGAAGUGCACAAAAAUUUUGACUGAUAUUAACCGACUCUGUUGUUCAGAUGGUAAAUAUAAUUGUAAACAAAGAAAUUUUAAAUAAAAAUUAAUAUUGUUAAUUAUAUAAAA
Zeugodacus cucurbitae (melon fly) is the source of this 640-nucleotide long non-coding RNA. RefSeq lists it as uncharacterized. The transcript is spliced from 4 exons. The record is from RefSeq and is a predicted model, not a curated record. Lineage: Eukaryota; Metazoa; Arthropoda; Insecta; Diptera; Tephritidae.